GAGACACCCUUAUGGAGCAGGACUUGCUUCAGUGGGGCUUUGGUGCUCACUGAGUCUUCUCCUUGAGUGAGUCACU
RNAcentral lists this microRNA precursor (76 nucleotides) under Myotis brandtii (Brandt's bat). RNAcentral describes it as "mir-9229 microRNA precursor family". It matches the Rfam family "mir-9229 microRNA precursor family". Lineage: Eukaryota; Metazoa; Chordata; Mammalia; Chiroptera; Vespertilionidae. The record is from Rfam by way of RNAcentral.